RNAcentral lists this ribosomal RNA (507 nucleotides) under uncultured bacterium. RNAcentral's name for it is "bacterial SSU rRNA". It matches the Rfam family "Bacterial small subunit ribosomal RNA", at positions 19 to 518 of the family's 1533-position model. The record is from RNAcentral.
AUGGCUCAGGAUGAACGCUAGCGGCAGGCUUAACACAUGCAAGUCGAGGGGCAGCGGGAUGUAGCAAUACAUUGCCGGCGACCGGCGGAUGGGUGCGUAACGCGUAUGCAACCUACCUUAUACAGGGGAAUAACCUUUCGAAAGGGAGACUAACACCCCAUAGUAUUGAUUUAAGGCAUCUUAGAUUAAUUAAAUAUUUAUAGGUAUAAGAUGGGCAUGCGUAUGAUUAGCUAGUUGGUAAGGUAACGGCUUACCAAGGCGACGAUCAUUAGGGGUUCUGAGAGGAAGGUCCCCCACACUGGUACUGAGACACGGACCAGACUCCUACGGGAGGCAGCAGUGAGGAAUAUUGGUCAAUGGGCGCAAGCCUGAACCAGCCAUGCCGCGUGCAAGGAAGACGGCCUUAUGGGUUGUAAACUGCUUUUACAUAAGACUAACCGUAUAUUUGCGAAUAUACCUGAAUGUAUUAUGAGAAUAAGGAUCGGCUAACUCCGUGCCAGCCGCCGC